RNAcentral lists this ribosomal RNA (530 nucleotides) under uncultured bacterium. RNAcentral's name for it is "bacterial SSU rRNA". It matches the Rfam family "Bacterial small subunit ribosomal RNA", at positions 980 to 1509 of the family's 1533-position model. The record is from RNAcentral.
UUUGACAUCCAGGGAAUUUAGCAGAGAUGCUUUAGUGCCUUCGGGAACUCUGAGACAGGUGCUGCAUGGCUGUCGUCAGCUCGUGUUGUGAAAUGUUGGGUUAAGUCCCGNAACGAGCGCAACCCUUAUCCUUUGUUGCCAGCACGUAAUGGUGGGAACUCAAAGGAGACUGCCGGUGAUAAACCGGAGGAAGGUGGGGAUGACGUCAAGUCAUCAUGGCCCUUACGAGUAGGGCUACACACGUGCUACAAUGGCGCAUACAAAGAGAAGCGACCUCGCGAGAGCAAGCGGACCUCAUAAAGUGCGUCGUAGUCCGGAUUGGAGUCUGCAACUCGACUCCAUGAAGUCGGAAUCGCUAGUAAUCGUAAAUCAGAAUGUUACGGUGAAUACGUUCCCGGGCCUUGUACACACCGCCCGUCACACCAUGGGAGUGGGUUGCAAAAGAAGUAGAUAGCUUAACCUUCGGGAGGGCGUUUACCACUUUGUGAUUCAUGACUGGGGUGAAGUCGUAACAAGGUAAGCGUAGUGCU